CUUGAACGCUGGCGGCAUGCUUUACACAUGCAAGUCGAACGGCAGCGCGGGCUUCGGCCUGGCGGCGAGUGGCGAACGGGUGAGUAAUGCAUCUGAACGUGCCCAGUAGUGGGGGAUAGCCCGUCUAAAGCCGGAUUAAUACCGCAUACGACCUGAGGGUGUAAGCGGGGGACCGAAAGGCCUCGCGCUUUUGGAGCGUCCGCUGUCGGAUUAGCUAGUUGGUGGGGUAAAGGCUUACCAAGGCGACGAUCCGUAGCGGGUCUGAGAGGACGACCAGCCACACUGGGACUGAGACACGGCCCAGACUCCUACGGGAGGCAGCAGUGGGGAAUUUUGGACAAUGGGGGCAACCCUGAUCCAGCCAUGCCGCGUGCGGGAAGAAGGCCUUCGGGUUGUAAACCGCUUUUGUUCGGGAAGAAAUCCUCUGGGCUAAUACCCCGGGGGGAUGACGGUACCGGAAGAAUAAGCACCGGCUAACUACGUG
RNAcentral lists this ribosomal RNA (484 nucleotides) under uncultured bacterium. Its description in RNAcentral is "partial 16S ribosomal RNA". It matches the Rfam family "Bacterial small subunit ribosomal RNA", at positions 29 to 507 of the family's 1533-position model. The record is from RNAcentral.